AAUGGGCGAAAGCCUGACGCAGCGACGCCGCGUGGGUGAUGAAGGCCCUCGGGUUGUAAAGCCCUGUGGGGAGGAACGAACCGUUCGGGGGUGAAUAUCCUCCGGGCUUGACGGUACCUCCUUAGCAAGCAUCGGCUAACUCUGUGCCAGCAGCCGCGGUAAGACAGAGGAUGCGAACGUUGCUCGGAAUUACUGGGCGUAAAGCGCGCGCAGGUUGCCUUGUAAGUCGUGUGUGAAAUCCCUCUGCUCAACGGAGGAAGUGCACGGGAUACUGCAAGGCUGGAGUACAGAAGAGGACAGCGGAAUUCCCGGUGUAGAGGUGAAAUUCGUAGAUAUCGGGAGGAACACCAGUGGCGAAGGCGGCUGUCUGGGCUGAUACUGACACUGAGGCGCGAAAGCGUGGGAAGCAA
Molecule: ribosomal RNA, 410 nt
Filed under: uncultured bacterium
Lineage: Bacteria
Description: bacterial SSU rRNA
Rfam family: Bacterial small subunit ribosomal RNA
Source: RNAcentral